RNAcentral lists this long non-coding RNA (1245 nucleotides) under Homo sapiens (human). RNAcentral's name for it is "HSALNT0296011". Lineage: Eukaryota; Metazoa; Chordata; Mammalia; Primates; Hominidae. The record is from RNAcentral.
AGACGCUGAGGGGCCGCAGCAGAACGCCUCGGAGGUGUCUGCUGAGGCCGGAGGUGGGAAGCUGAUACGUUAUUUCUCUCAGCUUAAAGCAGCUGCAUUUUUACAUUUGGGGAGGAGGGAAGAUGACUGCGUUGAGGAAAGGUUGCUGUCCAGGUCAUCCUAGCCAGCCCCAGGCUCAGCGCUCCAUCCUCGCGGCGCGCGUGCCUAGGGGAGUGAGCAUGUCACUUGGAGUAAGUUAGGUAGAACAUUCUCCGAACUCUAGGAAGAAAACGAAAAGGACUACCAAAGGAUCAAUCGCAGAACCUGGGGAGGAAGACACAGACGGGGCAGAGAAAGGGAAGGGGUCGCCUAAUCCGGCCGAAGGGAGUCCGGAGAGCCAAGACCGCGCCUCCAAGAGAAGCCACAGGGUGGCGCGAGAAGCCCGCGCGCAAAGGCGCGAGCUCCCCGCCCGCGCUGGGUGCCUGGGGGUGCGAUCUGCAGCCCCCAGUGAGCAACGCCUCAGGUCUCAGCUUCAGUCCCUGACCCCGGCCAGCCAGCGCCGGCCCCGGGGCAGGAUAGGGCAAGGCAGGGCAGGGCUGACAUCGAUCGCCUCCCUGACAAGAGCAUCGAUUUAUUCGUGAAGAAAUUAAUAGAUCUUCUCUUAGCUCCUCGGACGCAGGAGCCGCCCGCGGGUGGAGCUGAGGACCGCGCACCUUGGAGGCCGAGCACCUGGAAAGCCCCGGGAUCCCCAGCACCCAGGGCAGCAGAAGGCUGGUCCCAACCCCUCCCACCGCGCAAGCCUCCGUGGCUGCACUAACCCAUCCGUCUCAAGCUGGGGAGAGCGAAGGGAAGAGGGGUGUCUCUUGGCGGGGAGACAGGCAAGGCCCCAGGGAGCGGGGGAAGGACGACCUCCUAGAGGCUCACGGUUCUCUCCGCCAAGGCCCCAGCACGGAUGGCCCCCCAAGUCCCCGAGACAGGGACACACAGACCGACCGAGCAGCCUGAGCUCAAGAAGGUGACCAGACGGAGGCAGAGCCCUACACAGUGAUCGCCUUCUUCCUCGGGAUCUUGGUCAGAACCAAGGGACUAGGCGGUGACGGAGCCUGGCGCUAAGGGGUCUCCAAAGAGGACAAGGAGGCCUCCUAGGAGGCUGAGAGGGGCUCCCAGAGGCCAAGGGCUGUCCACGUUCUCCCGGGUCGAGGCUGCCAGAAGUUACCCCGCAGAUGUCAAGGCACCGGGAAGCAGAAUCUAGACACAGCGCUCCCC